AUGACCUCAUGGUCACAAGGCAGCAGCUUUACCACUGCGCCAAGGCUCCCCUUCUACUACAAGAUCAAGUGUAAAGAACUGAAAUGGAAAUGGAUGGCCGAAGGAUUCCUUGAUAGACGAUGGGGGCGUUUGGAUGAUGUGGCAGAGAACUGUAUUAAUGAACUUGUUAAUAGAAAUAUGAUCCAGCCAAUUGAUAUUGACGAUGAUGGUACUGUGAAAUAUUGUCGAGUCCAUGAUAUGGUGCUUGACUUGAUCAUAUCUUUAUCAGAUGAAGAGAAUUUUGCCACUGUUUUAAAUGGACGUGUAUGCAAUUCAUUUCCAAACAAGAUUCGACGUCUGUCCGUGCAAGUUAGUGGCAAAGAGCAUAAUGGUGCAGUCUGUGCGAUUACAGAAACCAAGAUACAUGUUCGCUCACUGACUACGUUUUGGCAGGUUGAGCAGAUACCCCAUCUUGUGGACUUCCAUGCUUUGCGGGUGUUGGAUCUUGGAGUAUGUGAAUGGUUGGAAAACAAGCAUGUGAAACACAUAGGAAGUUUACGUCAGCUGAGGUAUUUGAGAAUUGGUCGUUCUAUGAUUACUGAGCUUCCUUGUGAAAUUGGAAAGCUGCAGCACUUGGAGACUCUGGAUUUGAGAUGCUGUUAUUCACUUCCAAGUCUGCCAUCAACCGUGGCGCAGUUGCGGAAAUUGGUGCACCUAUUUGUCAGCAAUUUCACACAAUUACAUGCGAGUGGGUUUCGGAGUCUGCAGGCCUUGGAGGAGUUAGGCUUCGAGGAAACCGACGACCCAGUGAGAUUUGCAGAUGAAGUAAAUGAGUUGGUCAAAUGCAACCUUCGUUAUCUUCGUGCUGGUGGAGACAUAGCUGAGCGUCUGUUCUGUAACCCAUGCUGCACAUACCCGUGCCUCCAAGUUCUUAAAAUUGAGUCAGGUAUUAGAAUGGUUCCCAGGGGAAUUACCUCCCUCCAGAAUCUCAUGAAACUACGCAUAACGGUCAUGGAAUUGAUAAGGAGGAUCUCCAAGUUGUCAUGA
RNAcentral lists this ribosomal RNA (1026 nucleotides) under Triticum aestivum (bread wheat). RNAcentral's name for it is "partial small subunit ribosomal RNA". Lineage: Eukaryota; Viridiplantae; Streptophyta; Magnoliopsida; Poales; Poaceae. The record is from RNAcentral.